Entelurus aequoreus (snake pipefish) is the source of this 853-nucleotide long non-coding RNA. RefSeq lists it as uncharacterized. The record is from RefSeq and is a predicted model, not a curated record. The transcript has 6 exons. Lineage: Eukaryota; Metazoa; Chordata; Actinopteri; Syngnathiformes; Syngnathidae.
UUUUAUUUAUGAAACUCUCUAAUCUGUUAUUGAACAGUUUUUAAAUGAUUUUAGAAAAUUGUGGAAGUAAAGAAACAGGUCUAUAAUUUGUAAAUUGAUGUUUGUCUCCAGUCUUAUAAAUUGGUGCAACUUUAGCUAUUUUCAUUUUGUUUGGAAAUUUACCUAUUUGAAAUUAUAGGUUACUAAUAUACAUCAAUGGUCCUGAGAUCUCUUCAAUAACCUUUUUUAUCGUUUCCAUAUCAAUUCCGUUACAAUCAGUUGAAGUCUUAGAUUUAAACAUUUUUCACGAUUGUAACUAUUUCCUUCUGUGUCACAUUACUGAGGAACAUGGAGUUGGGAUUUGCAAUCUGAGGCAGAGAAUGAGGAGCUGCCAGAAAAAAGGAACAGGAAGCCAGUCCAUCGUCUCGGGCACUCGGAUGAUAGCGAAGAAGACCCGGGAAAUGGUGACCUCGCAUCUCUGGGGUUGGCAAGCCAAUUGCACAGGCAUUCUCCACCGUCUCGCCGAGUGCCAGCAAGAGUCAUGAGUACUUGUCAACUCGACUCCUCAACUGGAGAUAACUUUCUAGCACCUCACCAUGGGGAAGGACGUAUUCAUAUGCCUUCACCAGCACCUGCAUUAAACAUGCAGAGAGUUACACAAGGAACGGCAGUCCCUCCUCGACUCCCUCCAACCCCCUCACCAGCAGCCCUCAAAAUGUGGCAGACAGAGGAGCCUGGAUCCAGCCUGGCCUACAGGCCAACAUGGCGAGGGGGAAGAAUGGCCGACAACAAUUCCUGCUCUGCGCCUGAGGUAAUCCAGAUCAUUAGCCUGCUGGAACAUAUGAAGCACAACCAAGACUAGCUGAUUGCGAAG